GUGAAUCAUCGAAUUUUUGAACGCAAAUUGCACUCUCUUCGGAGAGUAUGCCUGUUUGAGGGUCAGCCUAAAAAAAAAUCAACAUAUUCGUUGUUUCGCGUUACCUUUCUUCGGAAAUUGGGUCAUUUUAAACCUUUGGUUUUUAAGCGGUUUAAAAUUUUCUUUACGAUUCCACGAACGUUUCUGGGUUUUCCCUCUUCCAG
RNAcentral lists this unclassified non-coding RNA (203 nucleotides) under Glomus sp. RNAcentral describes it as "partial contains 5.8S ribosomal RNA and internal transcribed spacer 2". The stretch from base 1 to 65 matches the Rfam family "5.8S ribosomal RNA", at positions 84 to 154 of the family's 154-position model. The record is from RNAcentral. Lineage: Eukaryota; Fungi; Glomeromycota; Glomeromycetes; Glomerales; Glomeraceae.